Molecule: RNase P RNA, 363 nt
Filed under: Candidatus Aerophobota bacterium
Lineage: Bacteria; Candidatus Aerophobota
Description: Candidatus Aerophobetes bacterium RNase P RNA component class A
Rfam family: Bacterial RNase P class A
About the family: Ribonuclease P (RNase P) is a ubiquitous endoribonuclease, found in archaea, bacteria and eukarya as well as chloroplasts and mitochondria. Its best characterised activity is the generation of mature 5'-ends of tRNAs by cleaving the 5'-leader elements of precursor-tRNAs.
Source: RNAcentral
AAGAGGGAAUGAGGUAGUCGCGGGAUACCCAAAAGUAUCCUGAGGAAAGUCCGGGCUCCAAGAAAGGAUACUGGGUAACUCCCAGGAAGGGUAACCUUACGGACAGUGCCACAGAAACCAAACCGCCCAAUGGUCUGUACAGGCUGAGGGUAAGGGUGCAAAGGUGGGGUAAGAGCCUACCGGUAGAGAAGUGAUUCUCUAGCUGGACAAACCCUGUCUGGAGCAAGGCCAAAUAGGAGGGUUUAACCCUCGGGUAGGCCGCUAGAGACUCAGGGUAACCUGAGCCCCAGAUAAAUGACUACCACCAAAGGGAAAGUAAUUUCCCUUUGGUUACAGAACCCGGCUUACAUUCCCCUCUUUCCU